This 497-nucleotide ribosomal RNA is filed under the name uncultured bacterium. RNAcentral describes it as "partial 16S ribosomal RNA". It matches the Rfam family "Bacterial small subunit ribosomal RNA", at positions 28 to 507 of the family's 1533-position model. The record is from RNAcentral.
GAUGAACGCUGGCGGCGUGCCUAAUACAUGCAAGUCGAGCGAACAGACGAGGAGCUUGCUCCUCUGACGUUAGCGGCGGACGGGUGAGUAACACGUGGAUAACCUACCUAUAAGACUGGGAUAACUUCGGGAAACCGGAGCUAAUACCGGAUAAUAUAUUGAACCGCAUGGUUCAAUAGUGAAAGACGGUUUUGCUGUCACUUAUAGAUGGAUCCGCGCCGCAUUAGCUAGUUGAUAAGGUAACGGCUUACCAAGACAACGAUGCGUAGCCGACCUGAGAGGGUGAUCGGCCACACUGGAACUGAGACACGGUCCAGACUCCUACGGGAGGCAGCAGUAGGGAAUCUUCCGCAAUGGGCGAAAGCCUGACGGAGCAACGCCGCGUGAGUGAUGAAGGUCUUCGGAUCGUAAAACUCUGUUAUUAGGGAAGAACAAAUGUGUAAGUAACUAUGCACGUCUUGACGGUACCUAAUCAGAAAGCCACGGCUAACUACGUG